UUAACACAUGCAAGUCGAGCGGUAACAUUUCUAGCUUGCUAGAAGAUGACGAGCGGCGGACGGGUGAGUAACGCGUAGGAAUCUGCCUAGUAGUGGGGGACAACAUGUGGAAACGCAUGCUAAUACCGCAUACGCCCUACGGGGGAAAGGAGGGGAUCUUCGGACCUUUCGCUAUUAGAUGAGCCUGCGUGAGAUUAGCUAGUUGGUGGGGUAAAGGCUCACCAAGGCGACGAUCUCUAGCUGGUCUGAGAGGAUGAUCAGCCACACUGGGACUGAGACACGGCCCAGACUCCUACGGGAGGCAGCAGUGGGGAAUAUUGGACAAUGGGCGCAAGCCUGAUCCAGCCAUGCCGCGUGUGUGAAGAAGGCCUUAGGGUUGUAAAGCACUUUCAGGAGUGAGGAAGGGUGAUUGGUUAAUACCCAAUUAUUUUGACGUUAACUCCAGAAGAAGCACCGGCUAACUCUGUGCCAGCAGCCGCGGUAAUACAGAGGGUGCGAGCGUUAAUCGGAAUUACUGGGCGUAAAGCGCGCGUGGGCGGUUUGUUAAGUCGGAUGUGAAAUCCCAGGGCUCAACCUUGGAAUGGCACCCGAUACUGGCAGGCUAAAGUACGGUAGAGGGGUGUGGAAUUUCCUGUGUAGCGGUGAAAU
This 648-nucleotide ribosomal RNA is filed under the name uncultured bacterium. RNAcentral describes it as "bacterial SSU rRNA". It matches the Rfam family "Bacterial small subunit ribosomal RNA", at positions 48 to 687 of the family's 1533-position model. The record is from RNAcentral.